Molecule: ribosomal RNA, 249 nt
Filed under: uncultured bacterium
Lineage: Bacteria
Description: partial 16S ribosomal RNA
Rfam family: Bacterial small subunit ribosomal RNA
Source: RNAcentral
CGUAGGUGGCAAGCGUUUGUCCGGAAUUAUUGGGCGUAAAGCGCGCGCAGGCGGCUUCUUAAGUCCAUCUUAAAAGUGCGGGGCUUAACCCCGUGAUGGGAUGGAAACUGAGAGGCUGGAGUAUCGGAGAGGAAAGUUGGAAUUCCUAGUGUAGCGGUGAAAUGCGUAGAGAUUAGGAAGAACACCGGUGGCGAAGGCGACUUUCUGGACGACAACUGACGCUGAGGCGCGAAAGCGUUGGGGAGCAAA